GCCAUGGUGGCACAGUGGUUAAGCACUCAGCUGCUAACUGAAAGAUUGGUGGUUCAAACCCACCCUGUGGCU
Molecule: transfer RNA, 72 nt
Organism: Loxodonta africana (African savanna elephant)
Lineage: Eukaryota; Metazoa; Chordata; Mammalia; Proboscidea; Elephantidae
Rfam family: tRNA
About the family: Transfer RNA (tRNA) molecules are approximately 80 nucleotides in length. Their secondary structure includes four short double-helical elements and three loops (D, anti-codon, and T loops). Further hydrogen bonds mediate the characteristic L-shaped molecular structure. tRNAs have two regions of fundamental functional importance: the anti-codon, which is responsible for specific mRNA codon recognition, and the 3' end, to which the tRNAs corresponding amino acid is attached (by aminoacyl-tRNA synthetases). tRNAs cope with the degeneracy of the genetic code in two manners: having more than one tRNA (with a specific anti-codon) for a particular amino acid; and 'wobble' base-pairing, i.e. permitting non-standard base-pairing at the 3rd anti-codon position.
Source: Rfam